Molecule: long non-coding RNA, 2138 nt
Organism: Populus euphratica (Euphrates poplar)
Lineage: Eukaryota; Viridiplantae; Streptophyta; Magnoliopsida; Malpighiales; Salicaceae
Exons: 5
Source: RefSeq, a predicted model, not a curated record
AAACUGAUAAUCUGUCAACCUCUUAUGGCUACCGCUUGUUCACUAACCACCGCUACAGCAUUGUUAUCUCGCCUCCCCUUUCUUGAAUUCACACCUUGUACCUCAUCCUCUUCACAUCGAAAACCGAACCGUUUAUGUUUCCAUUCCAGAACUAAAGGUUUUGUUUAAUUAUUUAUGACUCUCAGCUAGAAGAACACCCCAAGCAACAAAAUCUUGUAAGACCGUCACCGUUUCAUGCUUUAAACAACAAUCCCAUAUCCUUAAUCUUUAAUUCUCCUGAAACCCAUAAUUGGGGCACUGAAAGUGAUCCUGGGUUCAAAUAUCACAACGGAAAUUCAGAACCUCGUUGCUUUGGUGAAUGCAAUCCUGCACCCUAAAGGAUCAUAAUGAAGCCCUGGAACAGAAAGGAUUUCUUUCCUGUCAAUACAGGUUGUGACAAGAGCUUUUGAUUGCUUCAAGUAGGCAUGGCUCAAAUUAAGCUGUUAUGUUUUUACAGUUUAGUUUCUAUAUGAUAUAAGAAAGGGUGCAAAUCCUCAGAACACACUGCUCUUUGUGUCAAUAUUUAUUUGACUCUCCUAAUUAGAUAUCAUGCAAGAUCUGUUUUCUUUAGAUGUAUGUUGCUGUAUUUGUAGAGGAUGAUUAUCCCAAGCAAGAAGUAAUUUUUAUAUCAGGAAAUAUUGGUAUUACUGUUGAUGACACAUACAAGGCUUGCGAGAGAUUUGAACGCCUAGGUGUGGAGUUUGUGAAAAAACCUAACGAUGAUCUGUGAGUCUGGUUGCUGGAAAAAUGAAAGGGAUAGCAUUCAUCAAGGAUCCUGAUGGCUAUUGGACUGAAAUCUUCGAUCUCAAGACUAUUGGAAAAGUAACUGGAACCGCUGCUUGAAAUCAUGUGAGUCACUACAGCUUUUGUUGUUGUUGUUGUUGAUGAUGAUUUAUUCUUAUUUGUCUUCCAUCUUCAUUAGAUUGGCAACGUAAUCAAAUUUUUACUGUUACUGUUCAAGAUGCAAAAUUGUGUUCAUAUAUACUCACAGACAGUCAUUAGUAUCUACACAUUUCAUCGGUGAUAGACAUCUUUAUAGUUAGUGUGCAAGUCCCAGUUGAAGACCGUAUCACCUCUGACUUAUUUGGAAUUGUAAAGACUCGAGUGUGUACUGGUUAAGAGUUUGUGAGAUGAAAGAAGUGGUGAAAUGUUCUCUGGCUAAUUGCUAAUUGUUAGGGUGCUUGGUUGUAUUACCGUAUAAAUUUUAUGAAAUAUUAUUGUGAUGGUGGGUGGCCAUUGCUUUAUUCAUUUUAACCUCCAUAUAAUCUUUACCCUGCUAGGCAACGUUGAACCACUGUUGGGAAUCAAGAGUCAACCUCCUUAACAAAUGGAAUGUCUAGCAGAGCUAAAAAGCUAUGUGGUUUGCAUGACUACACUGACCAUCCUUCACCAUCCAAGCAUGCCUCUUGGCUUCUUCCAUAGCUUCAUUAUUCUUGCAUUUAUGUUGUGUGUUGCUUACGCAUUCUUUCGUGUCCCUUUUUGAUGCUCCAUAUAUUUUGAGAUGCUUCAACAGUGGUACAUGUUAUACCUGUCUUGUUUCUAAUAUUCAUGUAUAAUCUAGAGGGAGCCCCCAUGAGAGUAUGAUGAUUGUGCUGUCACAUUUCUGGUCUCCAACAAUUUAUACUCCCUAUGGUAUCAAGUCUUGUAUCUAGGUAAUGUGUAAAGCAAUACACUCUGAUCUGCCGCCUCCUUAAUGCACUCUCUUGGCUCAAGGCUCCCAAGCGGUGAGAUCCCAGCUAGAUUUAACUGGAAUCUCUGCUGUGUGAUCCAGCUCUUUUUUUCCCUUUUCUUCUCUCUUAUGAGUUUUGGGUGUAAGGGUGGCCUGGCAGCACUUCAUUUUGUUAUCCAUGUUUUCGGCGGUGAUCAUUUUGUGCAGGAAAGUGGGCAUUUUGCAGUCUUCAAGAUUUCUUUCUUCAAAAGAUGCUGCAGAGUAAGACUUAAGUUUUGUUUUCAAUGCACGCAUCUCUUGUGAUGGAGAUGACCUAUAUUUUCGUUCAACAUUUUUUUCAUCGCCUACUCAUUUUGUAGUUGAAUUUAGGGUUUGGCACCCCGAAAUGUACUAGGAAUUGAAAAUAAAUGGCUAGGUUUUUGUGGCUUUU